GCCUGGGUGGCUCAGUCAGUUGAGCGUCUGACUUCAGCUCAGGUCAUGAUCUAAUAGUGUGUGGGAUCGAGCCCCACAUCAGGCU
RNAcentral lists this transfer RNA (85 nucleotides) under Felis catus (domestic cat). It matches the Rfam family "tRNA". From Rfam's summary of the family: Transfer RNA (tRNA) molecules are approximately 80 nucleotides in length. Their secondary structure includes four short double-helical elements and three loops (D, anti-codon, and T loops). Further hydrogen bonds mediate the characteristic L-shaped molecular structure. tRNAs have two regions of fundamental functional importance: the anti-codon, which is responsible for specific mRNA codon recognition, and the 3' end, to which the tRNAs corresponding amino acid is attached (by aminoacyl-tRNA synthetases). tRNAs cope with the degeneracy of the genetic code in two manners: having more than one tRNA (with a specific anti-codon) for a particular amino acid; and 'wobble' base-pairing, i.e. permitting non-standard base-pairing at the 3rd anti-codon position. Lineage: Eukaryota; Metazoa; Chordata; Mammalia; Carnivora; Felidae. The record is from Rfam by way of RNAcentral.